This 73-nucleotide transfer RNA is filed under the name Arthrobacter cupressi. Its description in RNAcentral is "tRNA-Thr". It matches the Rfam family "tRNA". From Rfam's summary of the family: Transfer RNA (tRNA) molecules are approximately 80 nucleotides in length. Their secondary structure includes four short double-helical elements and three loops (D, anti-codon, and T loops). RNAcentral also lists the same sequence under 1 other name. The record is from RNAcentral. Lineage: Bacteria; Bacillati; Actinomycetota; Actinomycetes; Micrococcales; Micrococcaceae.
GCUUCCUUAGCUCAGUCGGUAGAGCGUUUCACUCGUAAUGAAAAGGUCGCGAGUUCGAUUCUCGCAGGAAGCU